RNAcentral lists this ribosomal RNA (497 nucleotides) under uncultured bacterium. RNAcentral describes it as "partial 16S ribosomal RNA". It matches the Rfam family "Bacterial small subunit ribosomal RNA", at positions 28 to 507 of the family's 1533-position model. The record is from RNAcentral.
GAUGAACGCUGGCGGCGUGCCUAAUACAUGCAAGUCGAGCGAACGGACGAGAAGCUUGCGUCUCUGAUGUUAGCGGCGGACGGGUGAGUAACACGUGGAUAACCUACCUAUAAGAGUGGGAUAAAGUCGGGAAACCGGAGCUAAUACCGGAUAAUAUUUUGAAACGCAUGGGUCAAAAGUGAAAGACGGUCUUGGUGUCACUUAGAGAUGGAUCCGCGCUGCAUUAGGGAGUUGGUAAGGUAACGGCUUAACAAGGCAACGAUGCAUAGCCGACCUGAGAGGGUGUUCGGCCACACUGGAACUGAGCCGCGGUCCAGACUCCUACGGGAGGCAGCAGUAGGGAAUCUUCCGCAAUGGGCGAAAUCCUGACGGAUCAACGCCGCGUGAGUGAUGAAGGUCUUCGGAUCGUAAAACUCUGUUAUUAGGGAAGACCAUAUGUGUAAGUAACUGUGCACAUCUUGACGGUACCUAAUCAGAAAGCCACGGCUAACUACGUG